Molecule: ribosomal RNA, 2923 nt
Filed under: Klebsiella pneumoniae
Lineage: Bacteria; Pseudomonadati; Pseudomonadota; Gammaproteobacteria; Enterobacterales; Enterobacteriaceae
Description: bacterial LSU rRNA
Rfam family: Bacterial large subunit ribosomal RNA
Source: RNAcentral
GGGUUGUGAGGUUAAGCGACUAAGCGUACACGGUGGAUGCCCUGGCAGUCAGAGGCGAUGAAGGACGUGCUAAUCUGCGAAAAGCGUCGGUAAGGUGAUAUGAACCGUUAUAACCGGCGAUGUCCGAAUGGGGAAACCCAGUGCAAUUCGUUGCACUAUCGUUAACUGAAUACAUAGGUUAACGAGGCGAACCGGGGGAACUGAAACAUCUAAGUACCCCGAGGAAAAGAAAUCAACCGAGAUUCCCCCAGUAGCGGCGAGCGAACGGGGAGCAGCCCAGAGUCUGAAUCAGCUUGUGUGUUAGUGGAACGGUCUGGAAAGUCCGACGGUACAGGGUGAUAGUCCCGUACACCAAAAUGCACAGGUUGUGAACUCGAAGAGUAGGGCGGGACACGUGGUAUCCUGUCUGAAUAUGGGGGGACCAUCCUCCAAGGCUAAAUACUCCUGACUGACCGAUAGUGAACCAGUACCGUGAGGGAAAGGCGAAAAGAACCCCGGCGAGGGGAGUGAAAAAGAACCUGAAACCGUGUACGUACAAGCAGUGGGAGCACCUUCGGGUGUGACUGCGUACCUUUUGUAUAAUGGGUCAGCGACUUAUAUUCUGUAGCAAGGUUAACCGUAUAGGGGAGCCGCAGGGAAACCGAGUCUUAACUGGGCGUUAAGUUGCAGGGUAUAGACCCGAAACCCGGUGAUCUAGCCAUGGGCAGGUUGAAGGUUGGGUAACACUAACUGGAGGACCGAACCGACUAAUGUUGAAAAAUUAGCGGAUGACUUGUGGCUGGGGGUGAAAGGCCAAUCAAACCGGGAGAUAGCUGGUUCUCCCCGAAAGCUAUUUAGGUAGCGCCUCGUGAAUUCAUCUUCGGGGGUAGAGCACUGUUUCGGCUAGGGGGUCAUCCCGACUUACCAACCCGAUGCAAACUACGAAUACCGAAGAAUGUUAUCACGGGAGACACACGGCGGGUGCUAACGUCCGUCGUGAAGAGGGAAACAACCCAGACCGCCAGCUAAGGUCCCAAAGUCAUGGUUAAGUGGGAAACGAUGUGGGAAGGCACAGACAGCCAGGAUGUUGGCUUAGAAGCAGCCAUCAUUUAAAGAAAGCGUAAUAGCUCACUGGUCGAGUCGGCCUGCGCGGAAGAUGUAACGGGGCUAAACCAUGCACCGAAGCUGCGGCAGCGACACUAUGUGUUGUUGGGUAGGGGAGCGUUCUGUAAGCCUGCGAAGGUGACCUGUGAGGGUUGCUGGAGGUAUCAGAAGUGCGAAUGCUGACAUAAGUAACGAUAAAGCGGGUGAAAAGCCCGCUCGCCGGAAGACCAAGGGUUCCUGUCCAACGUUAAUCGGGGCAGGGUGAGUCGACCCCUAAGGCGAGGCCGAAAGGCGUAGUCGAUGGGAAACAGGUUAAUAUUCCUGUACUUGGUGUUACUGCGAAGGGGGGACGGAGAAGGCUAUGUUAGCCGGGCGACGGUUGUCCCGGUUUAAGCAUGUAGGCUGGUUGUCCAGGCAAAUCCGGAUAAUCAAGGCUGAGGUGUGAUGACGAGGCACUACGGUGCUGAAGUAACAAAUGCCCUGCUUCCAGGAAAAGCCUCUAAGCAUCAGGUAACAUUAAAUCGUACCCCAAACCGACACAGGUGGUCAGGUAGAGAAUACCAAGGCGCUUGAGAGAACUCGGGUGAAGGAACUAGGCAAAAUGGUGCCGUAACUUCGGGAGAAGGCACGCUGGUGUGUAGGUGAAGUCCCUGCGGAUGGAGCUGAGACCAGUCGAAGAUACCAGCUGGCUGCAACUGUUUAUUAAAAACACAGCACUGUGCAAACACGAAAGUGGACGUAUACGGUGUGACGCCUGCCCGGUGCCGGAAGGUUAAUUGAUGGGGUUAUCCGUAAGGAGAAGCUCUUGAUCGAAGCCCCGGUAAACGGCGGCCGUAACUAUAACGGUCCUAAGGUAGCGAAAUUCCUUGUCGGGUAAGUUCCGACCUGCACGAAUGGCGUAAUGAUGGCCAGGCUGUCUCCACCCGAGACUCAGUGAAAUUGAACUCGCUGUGAAGAUGCAGUGUACCCGCGGCAAGACGGAAAGACCCCGUGAACCUUUACUAUAGCUUGACACUGAACAUUGAGCCUUGAUGUGUAGGAUAGGUGGGAGGCUUUGAAGCGUGGACGCCAGUCUGCGUGGAGCCAACCUUGAAAUACCACCCUUUAAUGUUUGAUGUUCUAACGUUGGCCCCUGACCGGGGUUGCGGACAGUGUCUGGUGGGUAGUUUGACUGGGGCGGUCUCCUCCCAAAGCGUAACGGAGGAGCACGAAGGUUAGCUAAUCCUGGUCGGACAUCAGGAGGUUAGUGCAAUGGCAUAAGCUAGCUUGACUGCGAGCGUGACGGCGCGAGCAGGUGCGAAAGCAGGUCAUAGUGAUCCGGUGGUUCUGAAUGGAAGGGCCAUCGCUCAACGGAUAAAAGGUACUCCGGGGAUAACAGGCUGAUACCGCCCAAGAGUUCAUAUCGACGGCGGUGUUUGGCACCUCGAUGUCGGCUCAUCACAUCCUGGGGCUGAAGUAGGUCCCAAGGGUAUGGCUGUUCGCCAUUUAAAGUGGUACGCGAGCUGGGUUUAGAACGUCGUGAGACAGUUCGGUCCCUAUCUGCCGUGGGCGCUGGAGAAUUGAGGGGGGCUGCUCCUAGUACGAGAGGACCGGAGUGGACGCAUCACUGGUGUUCGGGUUGUCAUGCCAAUGGCACUGCCCGGUAGCUAAAUGCGGAAGAGAUAAGUGCUGAAAGCAUCUAAGCACGAAACUUGCCCCGAGAUGAGUUCUCCCUGAGACUUUAAGUCUCCUGAAGGAACGUUAAAGACGAUGACGUUGAUAGGCCGGGUGUGUAAGCGCAGCGAUGCGUUGAGCUAACCGGUACUAAUGAACCGUGAGGCUUAACCUUACAACGCCGAAG